Long non-coding RNA from Dromaius novaehollandiae (emu), 492 nucleotides. RefSeq lists it as uncharacterized. The transcript has 3 exons. The record is from RefSeq and is a predicted model, not a curated record. Lineage: Eukaryota; Metazoa; Chordata; Aves; Casuariiformes; Dromaiidae.
UCCAGGAUUUAGCCAAAGCACCUCCACUGAAGAACGAGAGUGGACCGAUACCAGCAUAACUGGGGAUGAGACCUUUCGUCUCACGGCACUUGCCCGACGCGGGCAUCAGAAACACACACUGCGGUAUCCGGUGCGAUUCUCGAAUAAAACUACACAGAAGGAGAUGGAGACGUGUGCGGCACCGCUGCAGACGGGCACGCAUCCCUGGCGAGCAGAGGCACUUGUUACCUCUCAACCUCUACUGAUAAAUGAAUUCUGAUGCAGCAGAUCAUUAUCAAAUCUUGUGCAGUCCUGACGGAUUCAUAAAAGAUUUUAUUGGAUUUGCUUGCAAAGAGAUAAGCACAGACGACCAACACCUUGACCUGAAAACAUCACUUCACCUAAAAUUCUCACCGUGAUUUCUUCCUGGUGUCCCAAUCUAGAACCUAACUCUACCACCAAGACAGACAUUAUUAGCAACAUCUGCAGCUUCGAAUAGUUAAUCUUGUCAUU